RNAcentral lists this ribosomal RNA (497 nucleotides) under uncultured bacterium. RNAcentral describes it as "partial 16S ribosomal RNA". It matches the Rfam family "Bacterial small subunit ribosomal RNA", at positions 28 to 507 of the family's 1533-position model. The record is from RNAcentral.
GAUGUACGCUGGCGGCGUGCCUAAUACAUGCCAGUCGAGCGAACAGACGAGGAGCUUGCUCCUCUGACGUUAGCGGCGGACGGGUGAGUAACACGUGGAUAACCUACCUAUAAGACUGGGAUAACUUCGGGAAACCGGAGCUAAUACCGGAUAAUAUAUUGAACCGCAUGGUUCAAUAGUGAAAGACGGUUUUGCUGUCACUUAUAGAUGGAUCCGCGCCGCAUUAGCUAGUUGGUAAGGUAACGGCUUACCAAGGCGACGAUGCGUAGCCGACCUGAGAGGGUGAUCGGCCACACUGGAACUGAGACACGGUCCAGACUCCUACGGGAGGCAGCAGUAGGGAAUCUUCCGCAAUGGGCGAAAGCCUGACGGAGCAACGCCGCGUGAGUGAUGAAGGUCUUCGGAUCGUAAAACUCUGUUAUUAGGGAAGAACAAAUGUGUAAGUAACUAUGCACGUCUUGACGGUACCUAAUCAGAAAGCCACGGCUAACUACGUG